Molecule: long non-coding RNA, 533 nt
Filed under: Eucalyptus grandis
Lineage: Eukaryota; Viridiplantae; Streptophyta; Magnoliopsida; Myrtales; Myrtaceae
Description: long non-coding RNA (EGRA_LNC007241)
Source: RNAcentral
ACGGUUUAACAAAUUCAAAAUCGAAUUUCGCAAUAUAAAUUUCAUAUAAUUUUUGAAUUUGUACUCUAAUUUCGAAAAUUAUCCCAAUUAGACGAUCAAAUAGCUUAAAUUUUUACCGGGCACUGCGAAUGGAAGUAAAUCUACGGGGAGAUCUACACGCAAAACCCACUCUCUUUUCAUCUCAUUUUUUUCUUCUUUUCCAUUUCUUUUCGUUUCUCUCUUGGUGCAUGCUCUCCCUUCUCCCUUUAUCUCUUUAAAACCCUCAAAUUUUAGGUUCCAUCUUAAUUUUAUCCCAAACUUUUUUUUAUCUCAUAAAACCCUUAAUUUUAGACUCAAUGCUAAUCGGUCCCUAAUUUUUUCGUCUUAAAAAAUUUCAAACUUUAUAUUUAGUUUCAAAGGCAAGAACCUCAAGGACGAGGAAUCUCGACAUGAGAGAAAUCUCGACAGUCGGGACCGGAAUUUACGGCCAAAGAAGAGGAGAAAAUCUGGGCAGAAAAAAAAAAAUAGCAGCGGAUUCUCGGGCAAGUGGGACG